This is a small nuclear RNA of Sorex araneus (European shrew), 104 nucleotides long. Lineage: Eukaryota; Metazoa; Chordata; Mammalia; Eulipotyphla; Soricidae. The record is from RefSeq and is a predicted model, not a curated record.
GUGUUUGCUUCAGCAGCACAUUUACUAAAAUUGGAAUGAUACAGAGAAGAUUAGCAUGGCCCUUGGGCAAUGACACACAAAUAUGUGAAUUGUUCUAUAUUAAA